Molecule: ribosomal RNA, 306 nt
Filed under: uncultured eukaryote
Lineage: Eukaryota
Description: partial large subunit ribosomal RNA
Rfam family: Eukaryotic large subunit ribosomal RNA
Source: RNAcentral
AUAUCAAUAAGCGGAGGAAAAGACACCAACAGGGAUUCCCUUAGUAACGGCGAGUGAAAAGGGAGAAGCGCAACAUGGGAAUCGUGCCGCAAGGUUCGAGUUGUAGGGUUGCAUCGUUUACCUUGGACAAAGCGGCGUGUAAGUCUCUUGGAAUAGAGCAGCACAGAGGGUGAUACUCCCGUAACGCGCUGCAGAGUCUGUGAUGGUAAGCGAUAGGCGAGUCGAGUUGUUUGGGAAUGCAGCUCCAACGGGUGGUAAACUCCAUCCAACGCUAAAUACUGGUGAGAGACCGAUAGCGCACAAGUA